This 301-nucleotide ribosomal RNA is filed under the name uncultured bacterium. RNAcentral describes it as "partial 16S ribosomal RNA". It matches the Rfam family "Bacterial small subunit ribosomal RNA", at positions 509 to 807 of the family's 1533-position model. The record is from RNAcentral.
CAGUAGCCACGGUAAUACGGAGGGUGCAAGCGUUAAUCGGAUUUACUGGGCGUAAAGGGCGCGUAGGUGGUUAUUUAAGUGAGAUGUGAAAUCCCCGGGCUUAACCUGGGAACUGCAUCUUAUACUGGGUAACUGGAGUGCAGUAGAGGGUAGUGGAAUUUCCGGUGUAGCGGUGAAAUGCGUAGAUAUCGGAAGGAACACCAGUGGCGAAGGCGGCUACCUGGACUGAGACUGACACUGAGGCGCGAGAGCGUGGGGAGCAAACAGGAUUAGAUACCCCCGUAGUCCCUGUCUCUUAUAC